CAGUUCAGACGGCUUGAGUGAGAUGUGUAAUGCUACUAUGAUAGCACAUUGCGAAUCAUACGGGUUGCAAGUCCCUCAAGCAGAGCACACG
This 91-nucleotide non-coding RNA is filed under the name unclassified sequences. The record is from RNAcentral.